GGAUAUGAAUGGCUAGAAUGUUUGUCACCUGACUGAUCGUCAGAAUUGAUUUGGUUGAUUUCCCUGGAUAGUCUCUUUUUUUUCUUCAUUGAUCUAAAUACCCUCUGGAAGCUGAGCUCACAGAUGAAAAAUGUGUCCUUACCAGACUGACAGAGAAGAAUGUUCUUGGGUCUGGGGUUCCUCUCUUCUUUGCAUCAUUUAGUGAGAAUCUCUUAAAACUCGAAGGGUGCAGGUAGGGAGAAAGUAGGAGCACGGUCACUGAGAAAAUCUGGGCAUUGGGUUUGUCCAGGUCUGU
This 295-nucleotide small nuclear RNA is filed under the name Equus caballus (horse). RNAcentral describes it as "7SK RNA". It matches the Rfam family "7SK RNA". From Rfam's summary of the family: 7SK was discovered as an abundant small nuclear RNA in the mid-70s but a possible function has only recently been suggested. The record is from Rfam by way of RNAcentral. Lineage: Eukaryota; Metazoa; Chordata; Mammalia; Perissodactyla; Equidae.